Molecule: ribosomal RNA, 621 nt
Filed under: Salmonella enterica
Lineage: Bacteria; Pseudomonadati; Pseudomonadota; Gammaproteobacteria; Enterobacterales; Enterobacteriaceae
Description: partial 23S ribosomal RNA
Rfam family: Bacterial large subunit ribosomal RNA
Source: RNAcentral
GGGUUGUGAGGUUAAGCGACUAAGCGUACACGGUGGAUGCCCUGGCAGUCAGAGGCGAUGAAGGGCGUGCUAAUCUGCGAUAAGCGCCGGUAAGGUGAUAUGAACCGUUAUAACCGGCGAUACCCGAAUGGGGAAACCCAGUGUGACUCGUCACACUAUCAUUAACUGAAUCCAUAGGUUAAUGAGGCGAACCGGGGGAACUGAAACAUCUAAGUACCCCGAGGAAAAGAAAUCAACCGAGAUUCCCCCAGUAGCGGCGAGCGAACGGGGAGGAGCCCAGAGCCUGAAUCAGCAUGUGUGUUAGUGGAAGCGUCUGGAAAGGCGCGCGAUACAGGGUGACAGCCCCGUACACAAAAGCGCAUGUGCUGUGAGCUCGAUGAGUAGGGCGGGACACGUGGUAUCCUGUCUGAAUAUGGGGGGACCAUCCUCCAAGGCUAAAUACUCCUGACUGACCGAUAGUGAACCAGUACCGUGAGGGAAAGGCGAAAAGAACCCCGGCGAGGGGAGUGAAAAAGAACCUGAAACCGUGUACGUACAAGCAGUGGGAGCACCCUUCGGGGUGUGACUGCGUACCUUUUGUAUAAUGGGUCAGCGACUUAUAUUCUGUAGCAAGGUUAACCG